Long non-coding RNA from Andrographis paniculata, 771 nucleotides. RefSeq lists it as uncharacterized. The record is from RefSeq and is a predicted model, not a curated record. The transcript is spliced from 4 exons. NCBI's taxonomy places the organism in Eukaryota, Viridiplantae, Streptophyta, Magnoliopsida, Lamiales, Acanthaceae.
UAUUGCUCCUGAUUUUGAAGUCUGAAGUGGCAGGGUUAAAUUCACCGGUUUGGCAGCAUGAGCUAGAUCUGCAAAAUCAAUGGAGACUUCUCCCAGAAAUCCUGAUUUUGAUGAACCCUGGCUUUCCCAUAUGCAAGCUCCUUCUAUGAUUGGCGCUUUUGCUAACCUGACCGUUGGCUUUCCUACAUCUACCGGAACCAGAGAAAUCAUAAGGCUCUUUGCCUUCAACUGUGGCACCUGGAAUUGUUCAAAGACAUCAAGUUUAAUAAUAACCAAGUGUUCUCAGAUUGCAAAUCUUCAAUAAAUCAGAAUAGACUUUUCUGUCAUACCCAUAAAAGCAGCACACUCACACAUAUUCCCCCAUUGUAGAGACAAUAACAUACCUGUGAUGCUGAAAAGUCCAUCUUGAAGACAGCUUUGAUUUUUUUCUCACUUCUCUUGAACAUUUUUUCUCUGGUUUUUAUUAUUAUUCACGAAAUAUGUCUUGACCCCUUCGUUCUUCUUCUAUCUGUAACAGCCAGGAAAUCUCCAGUCUUUGUAUUUGCCUUAGCUGUCUGCAAAUCCGAACAGACCGCUGUUUCAUCAAGUUGAGGCUGCCCUGAUUGAAGGAGCCAGACAGACAACAGCCACCAAACAAAGGACACGGAAUCCAAGCGUGGCUGGAACACGACGCCCCUACAGAUGACUGACACGUGUACACUCCUCGUAGCUCGGAGAGUCGCUGCCUCCAUCCGACGGCUCAGAAACCAUCAACAAUUAAUAAACAAAAUU